UCGAGCGGUAUUACUGGAACGAAACUUCGGUCUAGAGAAGGUAUAGAGAGCGGCGGACGGGUGAGUAACGCGUAGGCAACCUGCCCCAUACAGAGGGAUAGCCUCGGGAAACCGGGAUUAAAACCUCAUAACACGAGAGUUUCACAUGUUACUUUCGUCAAAGAUUUAUCGGUAUGGGAUGGGCCUGCGUCUGAUUAGCUAGUUGGUGAGGUAACGGCUCACCAAGGCAACGAUCAGUAGCCGACCUGAGAGGGUAAUCGGCCACAUUGGAACUGAGACACGGUCCAAACUCCUACGGGAGGCAGCAGUGGGGAAUAUUGCACAAUGGGCGAAAGCCUGAUGCAGCAACGCCGCGUGAGCGAUGAAGGCCUUUGGGUCGUAAAGCUCUGUCCUUGGGGAAGAAAAAAAUGACGGUACCCUUGGAGGAAGCCCCGGCUAACUACGUGCCAGCAGCCGCGGUAAUACGUAGGGGGCAAGCGUUAUCCGGAAUUAUUGGGCGUAAAGAGUGCGUAGGUGGUCAUGUAAGCGCGGGGUGAAAGGCAAUAGCUCAACUAUUGUAAGCCUUGCGAACUGCAUGACUUGAGUGCAGGAGAGGAAAGUGGAAUUCCUAGUGUAGCGGUGAAAUGCGUAGAUAUUAGGAGGAACACCAGUGGCGAAGGCGACUUUCUGGACUGUAACUGACACUGAGGCACGAAAGCGUGGGGAGCAAACAGGAUUAGAUACCCUGGUAGUCCACGCCGUANACGAUGAGCACUAGGUGUCGGGGUCNCAAGACUUCGGUGCCGCAGUUAACGCAUUAAGUGCUCCGCCUGGGGAGUACGCACGCAAGUGUGAAAC
Molecule: ribosomal RNA, 837 nt
Filed under: uncultured bacterium
Lineage: Bacteria
Description: bacterial SSU rRNA
Rfam family: Bacterial small subunit ribosomal RNA
Source: RNAcentral